GAGUUUGAUCCUGGCUCAGGAUGAACGCUAGCGACAGGCCUAACACAUGCAAGUCGAGGGGCAUCGGGGAGCGAAGCUUGCUUUGCUCCGCCGGCGACCGGCGCACGGGUGAGUAACGCGUAUGCAACCUGCCCGUUUCAGCGGGAUAACCCGGAGAAAUCCGGCCUAAUACCGCAUGUGGCCAAGGGAAGGCAUCUUCUUUCGGCCAAAGGAGGCGACUCCGGAGACGGAUGGGCAUGCGUGACAUUAGCUUGUUGGCGGGGUAACGGCCCACCAAGGCGACGAUGUCUAGGGGUUCUGAGAGGAAGGUCCCCCACACUGGUGCUGAGACACGGACCAGACUCCUACGGGAGGCAGCAGUGAGGAAUAUUGGUCAAUGGGCGAGAGCCUGAACCAGCCAAGUCGCGUGAAGGAUGACGGCCCUACGGGUUGUAAACUUCUUUUGUCAGGGAGCAAUUGAGUCCACGUGUGGGCUUAGCGAGAGUACCUGAAGAAAAAGCAUCGGCUAACUCCGUGCCAGCAGCCGCGGUAAUACGGAGGAUGCGAGCGUUAUCCGGAU
This 559-nucleotide ribosomal RNA is filed under the name uncultured bacterium. RNAcentral describes it as "bacterial SSU rRNA". It matches the Rfam family "Bacterial small subunit ribosomal RNA", at positions 9 to 550 of the family's 1533-position model. The record is from RNAcentral.